CGUAGAUAUUAGAAAGAAUACCAAUUGCGAAGGCAGCUUUCUGGAUCAUUACUGACACUGAGGAACGAAAGCAUGGGUAGCGAAGAGGAUUAGAUACCCUCGUAGUCCAUGCCGUAAACGAUGUGUGUUAGACGUUGGAAAUUUAUUUUCAGUGUCGCAGCGAAAGCGAUAAACACACCGCCUGGGGAGUACGACCGCAAGGUUAAAACUCAAAUGAAUUGACGGGGACCCGCACAAGUAGUGGAGCAUGUGGUUUAAUUCGAAGAUACGCGCAGAACCUUACCAACACUUGACAUGUUCGUCGCGACUUUAAGAGAUUAAAGUUUUCGGUUCGGCCGGACGAAACACAGGUGCUGCAUGGCUGUCGUCAGCUCGUGUCGUGAGAUGUUGGGUUAAGUCCCGCAACGAGCGCAACCCUCACUUUUAGUUGCCAUCAUUUAGUUGGGCACUCUGAAAGAACUGCCAGUGAUAAGCUGGAGGAAGGUGGGGAUGACGUCAAGUCCUCAUGGCCCUUACGUGUUGGGCUACACACGUGCUACAAUGGUAUCUACAACAGGAAGCAAAACGGCGACGUUAAGCAAAUCCUUAAAAGAUACCUCAGUUCGGAUUGCACUCUGCAACUCGAGUGCAUGAAGCUGGAAUUACUAGUAAUCGUGGAUCAGCGUGCCACGGUGAAUGCGUUCCCGGGUCUUGUACACACCGCCCGUCACACCAUGGGAGUUGGUUCUACCUUAAGGCAAGGUUUAAAACCCUUGACUACGGUAUAGUCAGCGACUGGGGUGAAGUCGUAACAAGGUAGCCGUAGGGGAACCUGCGGCUG
This 820-nucleotide ribosomal RNA is filed under the name marine metagenome. RNAcentral's name for it is "bacterial SSU rRNA". It matches the Rfam family "Bacterial small subunit ribosomal RNA", at positions 689 to 1520 of the family's 1533-position model. The record is from RNAcentral.